UAUCGAUGUGUAGUACUCCAUUGUGUUAGUUACCAGACAAUUUAAUAUGUGUGCUGGUAAGUCUAUCAUGAGCAUGAAAACAUGAUAUGAUAUUUAACUAAGAGCUGUCAAAUAGUUAAGAAAGAACAUCUUUGGAAUUAAAGGAGCAUAUUAUCCCUUAGUAAUUUUUUUGUUGACAUUCAAUUAAUGGCAGAAGGAGACAUUUCUGUUUCUUUGGAGGACACUAUACUUUCAGGUAUAAUGCCAUAUUCUGGAAGCAAAGUAGUCAGCAGUGUCUGAGCUCCUUUACGUGCUGUGUCUGGGUUUGGAGAAGAUAGACUGGUAAUAUCAGCCAUGCACCUGCAAGUUAUUAUAAUUUCUUCUUGUAAUUAUAGUUAUCGUGGCCAUAUGUUGGUACAACUUAAAGCUUUUCCAGAUGAAGGGAUUACUCCUCAAACCUGUGGUAAUGAGGCUGAAGCAUAUAAAAGACAUCCAGAUGUCCCUUUCCCACCAUGGUGACCAACAAGGCCAGGCUUUCCUGGUUUUGCAGCUAGAAGACGGCAAGUCUCUGUCAGCCUGAGUCUCUGAGUGGUUUGCUCAGCGGAGUUCCCACCAUCAUCAACUCGCUGUCAACUUACAUUGGAUACGUAUGGAGACAGAAAGAAAGAGAAGAGAGCAGAGGGAGAGGGACCUCAUUACCACCA
Trichechus manatus latirostris (Florida manatee) is the source of this 683-nucleotide long non-coding RNA. RefSeq lists it as uncharacterized. The record is from RefSeq and is a predicted model, not a curated record. Lineage: Eukaryota; Metazoa; Chordata; Mammalia; Sirenia; Trichechidae. The transcript has 3 exons.